AAAUAAUGUCUUUUGGGACCAAAUGCGAUGGUGAUAAUGUUUUCUUUUUUCUUCCCUCGUGCAAGAAUAAUCAAGUGUGGGAUCAAAAGCCAGGGAUGAAAAAGCAGGAUGAAAAUGAAAAAUGGGUUGAAAGGACAGUGGACAAAGGACAGUGAGAAGGCAGAGUCAAAAGCAUCUCCUCCAUGUUUUACAGAAGGCCUUCAGGCCAGUCCCCUGCAGUGUACCAGGAACGAACAGAUGAGUCAUCUCAGCAUACACACAACUUCAGAGUGUUCCACACACACUGGAAGGGAAUCACAGUGAUUUGAAUCUGGACAAUGGGGAUAUAUGACAUGCCCAAGGUAUUGCCAUCCCAAAUUGAUGAGGCUUAAGAGCCUCCUUUGUCAGAAGACCAGUGACUGAUCAGGAGGCAAGGCCAUGCUGCCACCGCCAGCUCACCAGUCCUGGGCACAGCCACCCUGCCAGCAGGGAAGGAGCCAGCCUGAGCAGCUCCACAGGGAUCUGUGAAAGGAAGUCCAGGCCUCCAGACAGUCUCAGUCCUGAGAGGACAACCAGAGCAGCAGAGGUUGCCAGUCUCAGUGGGCAUAUAACACAGACUGCACAGGCACGAGCCCACUGAAGAGGAACAUAACAGAGUCAAGCAAAAUGAAGCUGGCCUACCUCUGAAAACUUUCUAGGUUCAAGGAAUGGGUCAUUUGAGCACAUCCAGCAAAGAAUCCA
This is a long non-coding RNA of Choloepus didactylus (southern two-toed sloth), 720 nucleotides long. RefSeq lists it as uncharacterized. The transcript has 6 exons. The record is from RefSeq and is a predicted model, not a curated record. NCBI's taxonomy places the organism in Eukaryota, Metazoa, Chordata, Mammalia, Pilosa, Megalonychidae.